Molecule: transfer RNA, 80 nt
Filed under: Shinella yambaruensis
Lineage: Bacteria; Pseudomonadati; Pseudomonadota; Alphaproteobacteria; Hyphomicrobiales; Rhizobiaceae
Description: tRNA-Ala
Source: RNAcentral
UGGAGGCGGUACGAGCCGGGGGCGGUGCGGUGCUUGCGGUGCCGCUCGACAUGCGCAAGGUCGCCUCCUGCGCUUCCGCC